This 316-nucleotide long non-coding RNA is filed under the name Ananas comosus (pineapple). Its description in RNAcentral is "long non-coding RNA (ACOM_LNC034320)". Lineage: Eukaryota; Viridiplantae; Streptophyta; Magnoliopsida; Poales; Bromeliaceae. The record is from RNAcentral.
GCCGAAUCCACGACGCCACUCGAAUCUACGAGCCAACGAUCCGAAUCCAUGAACCGCCUUUGUUCACGCCAAAUCCACGACGCCGUUCAUGAAGAGCAUCAUGAUUAUGGUGAUUCUUCGCUUAGGAGUAUCGUAGAAAAUCAGGGAAUAGAACUCCAAGCGAAGACUAGAUCAAAUCGACAUAUAGCGAAUGCGAAACGUUAUCUCGAUUUGAUCUAAAGAGGCUAAUUUGUAGAAAAUAGGUUUAGAAUGAAAUCCGAGCCUCUAGGGUUUCUCAAACAUGUAUUCUUAUGAUGCUUAAACAGUUAGAGAACCC